GAUGAACGCUGGCGGCGUGCCUAAUACAUGCAAGUCGAGCGAACGGACGAGAAGCUUGCUUUUCUGAUGUUAGCGGCGGACGGGUGAGUAACACGUGUAUAACCUACCUAUAAGACUGGGAUAACUUCGGGAAACCGGAGCUAAUACCGGAUAAUAUUUUGAACCGCAUGGUUCAAAAGUGAAAGACGGUCUUGCUGUCACUUAUAGAUGGAUCCGCGCUGCAUUAGCUAGUUGGUAAGGUACCGGCUUACCAAGGCAACGAUGCAUAGCCGACCUGAGAGGCUGAUCGGCCACACUGGAACUGAGACACGCUCCAGACUCCUGCGGGAGGCAGCAGUAUGGAAUCUUCCGCAAUGGGCGAAAGCCUGACGGAGCAGCGCCGCGUGAGUGAUGAAGGUCUUCGGAUCGUAAAACUCUGUUAUUAGGGAAGAACAUAUGUGUAAGUAACUGUGCACAUCUUGACGGUACCUAAUCAGAAAGCCACGGCUAACUACGUG
Molecule: ribosomal RNA, 497 nt
Filed under: uncultured bacterium
Lineage: Bacteria
Description: partial 16S ribosomal RNA
Rfam family: Bacterial small subunit ribosomal RNA
Source: RNAcentral